RNAcentral lists this ribosomal RNA (428 nucleotides) under uncultured bacterium. RNAcentral describes it as "bacterial SSU rRNA". It matches the Rfam family "Bacterial small subunit ribosomal RNA", at positions 355 to 774 of the family's 1533-position model. The record is from RNAcentral.
UGGGGAAUUUUGGACAAUGGGCGAAAGCCUGAUCCAGCCAUGCCGCGUGCGUGAAGAAGGCCUUCGGGUUUUAAACCGCUUUAGUCCGGGAAAAAGUGCUGACGUUCUAAUCCCGCGUUGUUUUUAUGGUACUGGAAGAAUAAGCACCGGCUAACUACGUGCCAGCAGCCGCGGUAAUCCUUAGUGUUCGAGCGUUAAUCGGAAUUACUUGGCGUAAAGCGUGCGCAGGCGGUCUUGUAAGACAGUCGUUAAAGCCCCGGGCUUAACCUGGGAACUGCGAUUGUGACUGCAAGGCUAGAGUGUGUCAGAGGGGGGUGGAAUUCCACGUGUAGCAGUGAAAUGCGUAGAGAUGUGGAGGAACACCGAUGGCGAAGGCAGCCCCCUGGGAUAACACUGACGCUCAUGCACGAAAGCGUGGGGAGCAAACA